Molecule: transfer RNA, 70 nt
Filed under: Coleoptera sp. ACP-2013
Lineage: Eukaryota; Metazoa; Arthropoda; Insecta; Coleoptera
Description: tRNA-Val
Source: RNAcentral
GAGUUAAAGCUUAAUAUAAAGCAAUUUAUUUACAUUAAAAAGAAUGUUGUGAAAUUCAAUAUAACUUGAA